This 1257-nucleotide ribosomal RNA is filed under the name Triticum aestivum (bread wheat). RNAcentral describes it as "partial small subunit ribosomal RNA". Lineage: Eukaryota; Viridiplantae; Streptophyta; Magnoliopsida; Poales; Poaceae. The record is from RNAcentral.
AUGGGGGCGGGGAAGGAAGCUCCCGGCGCCGUCGAGGGCGCCGCCGAGCCGCCGCCGCCGGUCGUGCUCAAGAUGGUCUUGCAUUGCGCCGGCUGCGCCAAGAAGGUCCGCAACAGCAUCAAGAGCAUGCCCGGUGUGCAGUCGGUGGUGGCCGACGCGGCGGCGAACAGGGUCGUCGUGGCGGGGACGGCCGACGCGGCCGCGCUCAAGGCGCGGAUCGAGUCCCGGACCAAGAAGCCCGUCGAGAUCGUCUCCUCCGGCGCCGGCCCCGGCCCGGCCAAGCCCGCAGCAGCCCCCGCCGCGGCCGAGAAGAAGAGCCCCGACAAGGAGGGCGACAAGAAGGAUCCCGACAAGGGGGAUAAGGCCGGCGCCUCCAAGCCGCAGCCGCCCAAAGAGGAAGACGCGGCGAAGAAGCAACCGCCCACCCCCACCGAGGAGAAGAAGCCCACGGAGCUCCAGGAGACCACGGUGCUGCUCAAGAUCCGCCUCCACUGCGACGGCUGCGCCGACCGCAUCAGACGCCGGAUAUACAAAAUAAAAGGGGUCAAGCAUGUGGAGCUGGAGGGCAAUGCCAAGGACGAGGUCAAGGUCACGGGCACCAUGGACGUCCCCGCCAUGGUGGCGUACCUGACCGAGAAGCUCAACCGCGCCGUCGAGGCCGUCGCGCCCGGCAAGAAGGACAAGGGCGCCGGCGACGAGAAGAAGGACAACAAGGGCGCCGGCGACGCCGAGAAGAAGACAGACAAAGAGGCGGGCGGCGACCACGUCGUCAUGAGCCAGGACAAGGGGAAAGGCAUCGAGGUGGCGGGCCCGUCCAUGGCGUCCGCCGCGGCCUCCGUGGCGCCCGCGCCGGUCCAGGCGAGGACGCACCACGUCUCGCCGUACGGCCAGGUGCCGUACCCGCAGCCGCAGGGGCCCCCGCCCAGCUACUACAGCCCCUACGGCGGCAAUGCCGACGGCGCGGGGUACGCCGGCGCCGGCAGCGGCAGCGGCGGCUACUACCAACAACAGCAGCACCCCAGCGCCAACGGCUACUACCAGCAGCAGCACCCGGGCGGCGACGCCGGCGGCUACUACCAGCAACCAAGAGAGGCCGGCGGCUACUAUCAGCAGCAGCACCCCAGCGGCGGCUACUACCAGCAGGAGCACCCCAACCACCAGGCGUACCAGCCGUACCCGCCGCCCUACCACUUCGACACGGCGCCGCCCUCGCAGAUGUUCAGCGACGAGAACCCCAACUCCUGCUCCGUCAUGUGA